Molecule: ribosomal RNA, 439 nt
Filed under: uncultured Bacillota bacterium
Lineage: Bacteria; Bacillati; Bacillota
Description: bacterial SSU rRNA
Rfam family: Bacterial small subunit ribosomal RNA
Source: RNAcentral
GAGCCCGCACAAGCAGUGGAGUAUGUGGUUUAAUUCGAAGCAACGCGAAGAACCUUACCAGGGCUUGACAUCCUGCGAAUGCCGAUGUAAUGUUGGCAGUGCCUUUCGGGGAGCGCAGAGACAGGUGGUGCAUGGUUGUCGUCAGCUCGUGUCGUGAGAUGUUGGGUUAAGUCCCGCAACGAGCGCAACCCUUACGGUUAGUUGCUACGCAAGAGCACUUUAGCCGGACUGCCGUUGAUAAAACGGAGGAAGGUGGGGACGACGUCAAAUCAUCAUGCCCCUUACGCCCUGGGCAACACACGUACUACAAUGGCGAGAACAAAGGGAAGCAAUACCGCGAGGUGGAGCAAACCCCACAAAAAUCGUCUAAGUUCGGAUUGCAGGCUGCAACUCGCCUGCAUGAAGCUGGAAUUGCUAGUAAUCGCGGAUCAGCAUGCCG